RNAcentral lists this ribosomal RNA (252 nucleotides) under uncultured bacterium. RNAcentral's name for it is "partial 16S ribosomal RNA". It matches the Rfam family "Bacterial small subunit ribosomal RNA", at positions 524 to 776 of the family's 1533-position model. The record is from RNAcentral.
UACGUAGGGUGCAAGCGUUAAUCGGAAUUACUGGGCGUAAAGCGUGCGCAGGCGGUUUUGUAAGUCUGACGUGAAAUCCCCGGGCUCAACCUGGGAAUUGCGUUGGAGACUGCAAGGCUAGAAUCUGGCAGAGGGGGGUAGAAUUCCACGUGUAGCAGUGAAAUGCGUAGAGAUGUGGAGGAACACCGAUGGCGAAGGCAGCCCCUGGGUCAAGAUUGACGCUCAUGCACGAAAGCGUGGGGAGCAAACAGG